GGGGAAUUUUGGACAAUGGGGGAAACCCUGAUCCAGCCAUGCCGCGUGUGUGAAGAAGGCCUUCGGGUUGUAAAGCACUUUCGGACGGAACGAAAUUGCGCGGGCGAAUAUCCCGCGUGGAUGACGGUACCGUAAGAAGAAGCACCGGCUAACUACGUGCCAGCAGCCGCGGUAAUACGUAGGGUGCGAGCGUUAAUCGGAAUUACUGGGCGUAAAGCGUGCGCAGGCGGCGUCGCAAGUCAGGCGUGAAAUCCCCGAGCUUAACUUGGGAAUUGCGCUUGAAACUACGGUGCUCGAGUAUGGCAGAGGGAGGUGGAAUUCCACGUGUAGCGGUGAAAUGCGUAGAUAUGUGGAGGAACACCGAUGGCGAAGGCAGCCUCCUGGGCCAAUACUGACGCUCAUGCACGAAAGCGUGGGGAGCAAAC
This 425-nucleotide ribosomal RNA is filed under the name uncultured bacterium. RNAcentral's name for it is "bacterial SSU rRNA". It matches the Rfam family "Bacterial small subunit ribosomal RNA", at positions 356 to 773 of the family's 1533-position model. The record is from RNAcentral.